This 405-nucleotide long non-coding RNA is filed under the name Gossypium raimondii (Peruvian cotton). RNAcentral's name for it is "long non-coding RNA (GRAI_LNC002076)". The record is from RNAcentral. Lineage: Eukaryota; Viridiplantae; Streptophyta; Magnoliopsida; Malvales; Malvaceae.
CUCCUUCAAAAUCAUGCCUAAAGACAAGAUUAACAACUAAUUAACAGCAGUCAGUCGGAGAAAUCUCAAUUCAAUUACGUAAACGAGAACUAACAACUUGGCAGAGCUUACAUGGAAAUAUUCUAACAACGCUCUGAAUCACUUAGAACUCUUAAUACUUGGACAAUCACUUAACGAAUGCAAUAAAAGAACUCACUUGAAAAAGAAAAAAUAAAAAAGGAGGAAAAAGAAAGAAAAGGGGAGAAAAGGGGAGAAAAACAAAAGAAGAAGGGAAAGAAGAAAUUGAAGUUAAAAAAAUAUUUAUUAACUAACCACCAUCCUCACACCAGCAUUUAGCAAAAAUUUUCUAAUGCAUACAAUGGGAUUCAAACUUGGAACUAGACAGAAUACAAACAGAUGCUUAAC